GCCUCGGUUUUUUUAAAAACCGCAAAAAUAUAUUAAAAUAGUAUUU
This is a non-coding RNA of Beta vulgaris subsp. vulgaris (sugar beet), 46 nucleotides long. Lineage: Eukaryota; Viridiplantae; Streptophyta; Magnoliopsida; Caryophyllales; Amaranthaceae. The record is from Rfam.